GCAUGGGUGGCUCAGUUGGUUGAGCGUCCGACUUUGGCUCAGGUCAUGAUCUUGGCGGUUUGUGAGUUCGAGCCCCGCUUCAGGCU
Molecule: transfer RNA, 86 nt
Filed under: Felis catus (domestic cat)
Lineage: Eukaryota; Metazoa; Chordata; Mammalia; Carnivora; Felidae
Rfam family: tRNA
About the family: Transfer RNA (tRNA) molecules are approximately 80 nucleotides in length. Their secondary structure includes four short double-helical elements and three loops (D, anti-codon, and T loops).
Source: Rfam by way of RNAcentral